GACAUUUGUCACCCCUUGGCUUGGUAGGUCGUGGACUGUAGCUAGCAGUCAGGGUGCGGGGGUGUCAAUCCCGUACAGAUCUAUACACACAAUGUCCGCUCUCCCUACAAGAGACUCUGGUUACCAACUAGACAACGGAGAAGGCCGUAUCCUGAAGAUGUAUCUCAAACUGUGAAUUCUGAUGUAAGUGCUGGACUAGUAGUGGAGACUCAUAACUGAACCGAUUGAUGUAAACCUAUAUGUCUAUACAUGUAUACAUGAUAUAUAAUUAAUGAUCAAAUGACCUUCGGAUGGAUAUCCGAUCCCACCAGACCACAUCUCAACGAAGAAAAGGAAAUAGGGCGAACUAGCCUUCCUAAGUCAUUUAAUCAUUAUUUAUAUAACUAUACAAGUACAGUCAUACAUUUAACUAAGUGGAAACGUAUCGUGAAGCAGAAGCGUAUCGUGAAGUAUAAGCGUAUCGUGAAGUAUAAGCGUAUCGUGAAGUAGAAGCGUAUCGUGAAGUAUAAGCGUAUCGUGAAGUAUAAGCGUAUCGUGAAGUAUAAGCGUAUCGUGAAGUAUAAGCGUAUCACUAAGUAGAAGUGUUUCACAAAGUAAAAAGCGUAUCACGAGGUGGGAGCAUUAACUAAGUAUAAGGGAAGCAGUAGUAUCUUAACCAAGUAGGAGUAUAAAAACAUGUAAGAAAACUUUGAUGAAAACUUUGGAAAAACCUUAAUAGUUAAGAAAAUCACGGCUUGGUAUUCUUAUUUAAAAUAAGUUUGAAAACCUUUUGAAAACCUUUCGUAAACAAGUUUUAAAUGAAACUUUAAUAAAACAUUCAGCACGAGAGUCAAUUUGAGGAAAGCUUUGAACAAGUAAAGACAUUAUAGAAAACCAUUUAUAGUAUCAUACUUGGUAAAAAAGUUAACAGUGUAAUAAAUCCUUGUGCAUGUGGGUUAUCAAUCACAUGUGAUUGAUAUGAUAACUGGCAUGUUUAACUUGUAUCCCCCCUAAAACGUGUAAAACAGUUGAAAAAGGUUCAUUAAGGGGUAUGAACUCACCUGUUAUAAGUGGAUCCGACUGAGGUGCCGAUAUAGGAUGCUAAGUGUCAAGUGAGGACUUGACCACACACGCGAAUCCUAUUUAACAUGUAAUGAUACAUUUAAGUAUCUAAUUAGUCAUUUAACAACUAAUAACGCAAGUAAGGAUGUCUUACGACAUCAAAACACUUUGCUACAAGUGCUAGAAGUGUCCCAGGUUGCAUAGAAGGUGUGUAUGGACUCACAUUGGAGUUUACUCCUCAAAUGAAGGCCCUUAUGGGUUCUUACGGUUUCAAGACCCUUUCCCCCAUGAGUUUACGGCCGUAAACUCAUGGUAGUAGUGUCAUGGGAUGCUUAAAGGUCUUAACUCACUCAUGGAGUCAUGCUAGUGUUGAAUCAAGGGCUAAGGAAGUGAUUGGGGCUCAAAAUGGACACCAUUUGGGAGUUUACGGUCCAUAGUUUACUCCUUGAGGAGUUUAUGGCCUUAAACACAUGAGUUUACGGUCGUAAACUCAUGUUAGCCCAUUCCUUUGGUUGUUUGGUGGUUCUAACUCAUGUAUGUAAGGUUCUAGUGGCUUUUAGAGACAUAGGAAGGUGUUUAGGGCACUUAAACACCUUGGAAAGGUGUUUACGGUCUAAGGAGAUACACUUGAGGAGUUUACUACCUUAACACAUGAGUUGACGGUAGUAAACUCAUGUUAGUCCCUAAAUCAUGCACUUUUGUGGUUGUAGGUUAAGCAUACGAAGUUCUAGGUCCAAAUCCAAGCCAUACAAAGUGUUGAGGGCACUUUAACACCCUUUGGGGGUGUUUAUGGUCUAAGGAUGUGUGUUUACGGUCCAAGAACCUUCUUGGGCCGUAAACUCAAGUGUGACAUGAUUUUGUAUGCUUUGGUGCAUAAAAUGAAGGAAAAUAAGGUUCUAUGCACCCUAGGAAGUUCAUGGAAAGUGUUUUGGAAGGGUUUUUGAGCAUCAAAACCCACAUUCAAGGGGUUUACGGUUUUGGGAGGCUCCCAAGACAGUAAACUCUAGUUCUUGAGGUUUCCGGAUGAUUAAGUCACGAAUUUGCAAGAUAGAAGUGUUAACAAACAAGCUAGGGAGGAUUACUUACCGAUUUGAGGCUCGGAGGGACGAUUUUUGACCAAAACCCGUUUGUAGAGAGAGAAAGUAGAGAGAAAGAGUCUAAGGUGGUAAAAAGGUGGGAGUGAAUCCCACUCCUCCCUUAUAUAGGGUGGAGCUUAUGGCCUGGCUGGGGUUUUCCUGACACCAACCGCGAACGGGUUUUUCACCACUUCCUUUAUCACGUCAAAUUUUAAAAUUAUACCGCCUUAAUUUUUGUUUGCUUGACGAAUAUUAUUUAAAAUAUUCCAACGGGUUUAAUUCCGGUCAAAAAUAUUUUCGGGAUAAAUUUGACUAAUUUUUGACGUAACUAAUUUCGACGUUAAUUUUUGACGUUAACUUCGACGUUAAAACUAACGGAAAUCUUUAGGUUGUCACAUCAUCCCCCCCGUUAGAGGGAAUUUCGUCCCGAAAUUCAGAUUUAGGCAAGGAAGUAGGUAUGAACGAUCGAGUAGAGGUAUGAGGAUACUUCCUGUUUGGUUCGUCUACGAAGUUAGGGUUCCCGAUGGUUUCUAUCAAGAUGAGUGGGAUACAAGGAGUGGCGUCGGGCAAACACUUAUCAAGUCUAGAGACUUGUGGAAUAUUCGGAAGUAGUAGUGGUCUGACGAGGGUUGGACCAAUCUUUGUAAUGAAUCUCGGAUGGUCCUAAGCUCUCGGAAGGGUAGAGCUUUUCAGUAUUUAGAACAUAGUGUACUUCUAUGGCGAGAUCAUCACUGGCAUGAUCGCCAUUCUGAAGUUCCAACCGUUCUCUCAUAUUGGGAGUGUAGUCCUUCGGAUUGGUUCUUAGAAAGCUCGGGUUGUCCUUGGAUUUCGUGUUUCUACUGUUUGACUUUCAAAGGUUUUCCGGAUCAUCGGAUGGAUUGCAUGUCUACAGGUAUCUGUUUGCUGCAGUGUGUCUAUCUCAAUAUUGUGCAAAAUGGGCCCGCACUUCUGAUUCUUGAGAUAUUUCUAACGGAAACCCUCAGGGUCGGGGAGAUAAGGUUUCACCAGACGAGUGUUGGACUACAUCGGGAGGUGGUUCUACUAUUUCUGUGCGAGAUAGUAUUCGUGGAACACCUAGUAGUCCAAUGAAUCUUGUAAGACAUGCCCUAAUCUCUAAGGCGUUGGUUUAUUUCAGUUGCAGAAAACGCGUGCUCUUGUAUAACCCAUCGACUAACACCUAGAAUGGUGUCUAUUCUAUAAUCUCUUCGGGAUCUGGGUUAUAAGGCUUCACGCAAUCUACUUUCGCACCUUGACCAAGUAUUCUUGGCUACGAAGGUUAUCCUGUUGUUCUUGGCAUUCUAAGGUUCGCUUCGGAGAAUGUAGUCUAUCGUCUACAGGGCGACGGCGGCUUCCUCCAUGUAAGGGAGCGGAGGGUUCUAGGCACUACUUCUCGGUAACGGGGUGGUCAAAGUGCCUGAGUAGUGCGAACAUCUUCUGCAACUACUCUUCCAAAGGUUCUGAGUUUUCUCGGUCUAGGUCAAAUCUAGUGGGUAUAGGGUUCCAUCACUCGGAACUUUGACCUCCAUUAUAUACCACCCUUAUGCAUAUACUCAGUUAUAGUGGUCAAUCCUAUGAGUUCUAUUCCCUGGAUUCACGAACGUACUUGCGAGGUACGAAGGGUCUUUCUGGGGAAUCUACGGAGUAUGUCAUCGUCUUCUGGAAUAUCUGCACUGUCUUCGCUUCGGUAUCUUUCUGUCUAGGAAGGUUGGUUAGCAGCGCGCGAUACCCUUCUCCUGGGUACUUCAGAAGGUUCGAGGUAAGAGGGGCGACUGACGAAUCGCAUUAGGUUUGAUUAUCUAUAUUAUGUUUAGGUCUGGAAGAACCUUUAAUUGCCGAAAUGGCUACGGAGAAAGUUCUUUUUACACAGCACUAAGGAUUUACACAUGGUUGCACAAAGUCGAACCAUAAUUGAUAGAGGUGUCGAAGUUGGCACACUUCGACAUGAUACAGAAUGAGGGUCAAUAGAGUCAUGUGCCGAAAAGGCACACCUGUUCUAGGCGUCACAGGUUUCGUCCCGUGUAUCCCUGUUGCGGAUACAUGGACCGAUAGAGUCGACGCGUAACUGUAGAGAGUCCUGAGUGUUUCUGAGUAGAGUACCUUUUCAUGAAUGGGUUCUCACGAGGCAUUUCUAUAAUCGCCUAACAUAUACUAGUCAUGUAUAAUUAAGGUGGGGAGGACUGUUGACUGAGCGACUCCACCCUAAAUCCACAACCAAACAAGGAACAGGAAAUGAGGCGGCAUUCACUCACUCUAGGUCUAUCCAUGUUAAUUAUACAUGGUCGUAACAUAUAUGUCUAGCCAUUAUAGUUUUACCCAAUGAAACUUUUAAAAUUUAUAACAGGGCUACGACUUUCGUCUUAACGGGGAAGUAAUUUCAUUUAGAAUUAGCCUUUUAAUGUCUUCGGUUAGUUAUCUAGGAUCGAGAGACGUACCAAAAUCUACUGGGUUCCUUGAUGCUUCUCCCUAAGCAUUAGAGUCAGACUCCUCCUGUGUCCUUGUCUUUUCUUUCCGUUGGGAAAUCUCGCUUUAGGUUCCCAAUCCCACCACACAGGCGGCAAGCUGUAUUGGUCGCCACAUUGGUGGUUGAUGUAAUAAACUCAAUCGGGGUUCUGCAGACGCGAGUAGUAUGCCCCUUCAUGUUGCAUCUAGCGCAAUAGAGUUCCCGGCAUACACCAUGAUGAUGGUAGCUACACUUGCCGCAGUGGGGAAGGUCUCCUAGGUAUGGUCUCCUUGAAGUCGGGGUGGAAGAGUUGGCAGGGGUAUGGACUGCCUCAGCUCGUUGCCCUUCGGGAGGUCCUUGAUCCGAGGUACUUCCCUCCUCGAUCUUGAGUUUUCUCUUCAGUGGAUUUGGUUGAGGUUCUCGGGCGGCUGGGUAUGCAGGUGUUGGUUGCUGCUGUCCAUUACUUGGAUCGGAAUUCCUGAUAGGGCUCUUGCUAACGUGGGCAUUGUUAGCACUCAGUUGAGCCAUGACAGCUGCUACGGCUACCAAGACUACAGCUUGGAACGUAGCUUCAUCGAAUAGGAGAGUUGGUUUCUUACCGACGGAUGGGUUACGCUUCUUCGGAGGCAUGGUUUUUCCUACACGGAAAGGAACACAAGCUGAUGAGAGACGAUGGUUAACCCUGGAGAAAUGUAUUAGGCAUAAAUUUUUCCCGUGCUUCGGAUAUUGGUUGUCUGAGUGUCGACCUACAUCCCUAUGAUGUAGUCCUGGUGUUCAAAGUAAGAGUGUGAGUACUAGAAAAAGCCAUAAGAUAGGGGUCGUUCCUACUAAGUUACCUUUAUACUGGGAAAGGUUCACCCUCUGGCUUGGAGAGAUCUGAGAAUAGUUCAGAACGAAUACCGCGGGAAGAAAGGCUCAUGAAUACUUAUGGCUAAACAUCCUCAAUAGAGGUGCGGGGAUCCGCUCUAAUCGUAUUACUUGCAACGGGAAAAGACGAUUUACCUAACACAUAGCGUGAGUAGUGUGAUGACUAACUCACUAAAUUGUAUUAUUUUGUGGGUGUAUUAGCAUGACGAAUCACGAGGAAAAGAUACUUCUCGGGUUCCAUGUACUGGCUCCCUCUGUCUACCUCGUAUCUUUGACUGGGACUGGCAUUGGUUUCCUUCGGGUAGUUAGCUAGGGUUUCUUUCUUGUGAAGACAUAUUGAAUUUAUACUUCGCCUUACUUCCGAAUCCGACUCUGGGUGUCAUCACUUCAUGAUGGAUGACUGGAAAUCUCGGAAGUUUAGGCGAACCGAUGUCCCUAAAAGAUAUAGGCACUUGGUGAUUUCAAUAGUCUCGACCUAAUUCAUUCAUUUCCGAACUGGAAAUCUUCUCAAUGAACUUCUUCUGGGUCUGAAUCAACUCUUCUGUCGCGCACUGAAGUGGAUAGGGUUUUCUACAGGGUUCGUGCGAGAAUGGAAAUGUCUAAAGAAUCCUAAGAGAUUAUUAACAUUUCACUGGAUGAUCCAUAUCGAGUCCUGCUACGAUUACAUAGGGUAUACAAAUCAUAUAUAGCUUAGAUCCGAUAGGCCUUCGAAUAUGUGAUACUACUCUAUAUCCACAUCCCAACGAGGAAAAGGAAGUAGAGCGAAACCACACAUUCUUAGCCUAUGGGAUCCUUAUUAUAUAUAACCUUGGGAGUAUACCCUCUGUAAUUGUAGGUAUAUCAAUAAGGAUCUUUUUAGUUCUUCACACAAGGUUGUCUAUGUAUCCUAAAAUACCCCUAUGGUAUUUUAAUUUCUUGUUUGUUUCUUAUCUUCUGAAUAUGAUUCUGGGAUUAAUGUGAGUCUUUUAGUAUUCCAAAAUACUCCCAUAGUAUUUUAAACUUUAUGUUUGGCUCUAGCAUUCCUAGUUGGUAAGUUUCAGACCUGUUGCAACACCACUAUCACUCCCAAGCACACGUUCAUCGCAUCUNNNNNNNNNNNNNNNNNNNNNNNNNNNNNNNNNNNNNNNNNNNNNNNNNNNNNNNNNNNNNNNNNNNNNNNNNNNNNNNNNNNNNNNNNNNNNNNNNNNNNNNNNNNNNNNNNNNNNNNNNNNNNNNNNNNNNNNNNNNNNNNNNNNNNNNNNNNNNNNNNNNNNNNNNNNNNNNNNNNNNNNNNNNNNNNNNNNNNNNNNNNNNNNNNNNNNNNNNNNNNNNNNNNNNNNNNNNNNNNNNNNNNNNNNNNNNNNNNNNNNNNNNNNNNNNNNNNNNNNNNNNNNNNNNNNNNNNNNNNNNNNNNNNNNNNNNNNNNNNNNNNNNNNGUGUCAGGUUGAUAUUUGCUAUGUGUCACACCCCAAAACCGGAACGGCGGAAACGUUCUAGGGUGGGUGACUUAAUGUCAAGUAUCACAACAUAUGCAGUAUAGUAAUCAAAGUACAACAACCAUUGCAUUAAUAGUAAUAGCUUUACAUGGUUUACAUUGUAUAGAAUCAAUAAAGUAAUACAAGUAAUAAUGUAGGUGCAUCUUGGUACUAAACGGUCUUCACCAAAAGUGCCUGAGAUGUACUUGUCUAUUGCUGACCUGAGAAUACAAGUUAUUUUGAAAGCGAGUAUCAUCAUUUUUAUAAAUGUUGGUGAGUUCAUAAGUCUUUAGUGUCAUUUGUGUAUGUUCAAAAUAACUUUAUAAAAGUGGUAGUUUAGAGUCUACAGUGGAUUAGAGUCCCUUCCAGAAAAUCCUAUAUUUUCUUAAUUAAAAGCAGUCUUCUACCAAGACUUGACACAAUUAUGUUUGCAAAAGUGAUUUUCCGUUAAACACUAUCAUUAUCAAAUACGGUGUUUGAUUUUUAAGAAAGUAGGAGAAUAUCAGGGAAAAUAACAUAUGCCUCAGCAGUGAGGACUGCUGACUAAGGGGAGAGAGAUCAUAGACUCCAGGAGAGUAUCAAACAAACGACACGCCUGGCUCAGUCUAACAGGAGGAGAUACAGACCCCAGACGAUAUCAAAUGAAUGAUACGUCUAGUAAGAUCUAAAACAGUGGAUACAGACCCCAGACAUGAUCAAAUGAAUGAUACGUCUAGCAAGGUCUAAAAUAGUGGAUACAGACCCCAGACAGUAUCAAUUGAAUGAUACGUCUAGCAAGGUCUAAAAACAGUGGAUACAGCCCCAGACAGUAUCAAUUGAAUGAUAUGUCUAGCAAGGUCUAAAAACAGUGGAAUUCUAGGUGUGGAUAUUCGAGAUGUGUAUUUUCUAGGUGUGUAUUUCCAGCAAACAGUGUUAAACGUCAUUACCUUAAGGCCAUGAAUUAUAAGGUAACAUGGAGAUACUCGUAACCAUACUAAUCGACACUGGAGUACUUGACGCCCUGCAAGCGUCGGUGUGAAUAUGACAUUUGUCACCCCUUGGCUUGGUAGGUCGUGGACUGUAGCUAGCAGUCAGGGUGCGGGGGUGUCAAUCCCGUACAGAUCUAUACACACAAUGUCCGCUCUCCCUACAAGAGACUCUGGUUACCAACUAGACAACGGAGAAGGCCGUAUCCUGAAGAUGUAUCUCAAACUGUGAAUUCCGAUGUAAGUGUUGGACUAGUAGUAGAGACUCAUAACCGAACCGAUCGAUGUAAACCUAUAUGUCUAUACAUGUAUACAUGAUAUAUAAUUAAUGAUCAAAUGACCUUCGGAUGGAUAUCCGAUCCCACCAGACCACAUCUCAACG
Molecule: long non-coding RNA, 8225 nt
Filed under: Lactuca sativa (garden lettuce)
Lineage: Eukaryota; Viridiplantae; Streptophyta; Magnoliopsida; Asterales; Asteraceae
Description: long non-coding RNA (LSAT_LNC000255)
Source: RNAcentral